Molecule: small nucleolar RNA, 133 nt
Organism: Cyprinodon tularosa
Lineage: Eukaryota; Metazoa; Chordata; Actinopteri; Cyprinodontiformes; Cyprinodontidae
Product: small nucleolar RNA SNORA31
Exons: 1
Source: RefSeq, a predicted model, not a curated record
UUGCAUCUUUGACAGCCUGGUUUCUCUGCUGUGGGAUAUCCUGGGUUUAAUUUGUUCAGAUGCAAUAGAAAAUGUCCCUGCGCUUUCUGUGCACCUCUCAGUGGUGUCUCAGAUUGAAGAAGGGAGAACAAAC